This 241-nucleotide ribosomal RNA is filed under the name uncultured bacterium. Its description in RNAcentral is "partial 16S ribosomal RNA". It matches the Rfam family "Bacterial small subunit ribosomal RNA", at positions 94 to 334 of the family's 1533-position model. The record is from RNAcentral.
AGUGGCGGACGGGUGAGUAACGCGUGGGUAACCUGCCUCAUACAGGGGGAUAACAGUUAGAAAUGACUGCUAAUACCGCAUAAGACCACAGCACCGCAUGGUGCGAAGGGGUAAAAACUCCGGUGGUAUGAGAUGACCCGCGUCUGAUUAGGUAGUUGGUGGGGUAACGGCCUACCAAGCCGACGAUCAGUAGCCGACCUGAGAGGGUGACCGGCCACAUUGGGACUGAGACACGGCCCAA